This 298-nucleotide signal recognition particle RNA is filed under the name Saimiri boliviensis boliviensis (Bolivian squirrel monkey). Its description in RNAcentral is "Metazoan signal recognition particle RNA (ENSSBOG00000000828.1)". It matches the Rfam family "Metazoan signal recognition particle RNA". From Rfam's summary of the family: The signal recognition particle (SRP) is a universally conserved ribonucleoprotein. It is involved in the co-translational targeting of proteins to membranes. Lineage: Eukaryota; Metazoa; Chordata; Mammalia; Primates; Cebidae. The record is from RNAcentral.
GCCGGGCGCAGUGGUGCAUGCCUAUAGUCCCAGCUACUCGGGAGGCUGAGGUGGGAGGAUCACUUGAGCCCAGGUGUUCUGGGCUGUAGUGUGCUAUGCCAAUUGGGUGUCCGCACUAAGUUAGGCAUCAAUAUGGUGACCUCCUGGGAGCAGGGGACCAUCAAGUUGCCUAAGGAAGGGUGAACCUGCCCAGGUCAAAACAGAGCAGGUCAAAACUCCCAUGCUGAUCAGUAGUGGGAUUGCACCUGUGAAUAGUCAGUGCAUUCCAGCCUGGGCAACAUAGUGGGACCCUGUCUCU